Long non-coding RNA from Oreochromis aureus, 2811 nucleotides. NCBI's taxonomy places the organism in Eukaryota, Metazoa, Chordata, Actinopteri, Cichliformes, Cichlidae. The record is from Ensembl.
GUUGAACUGACAAUUGAGGGAAAGGGGAGCGGGUGAUUGAUAGACAGAUGUGUGUGGUACGGGCUGUACCAGUCUGUUUUAAGGAAGAGAGAUCUGAGCAUAAAAAUGAAGUCGUCAAUUUACCAGUUAAUCUACAUUCUCCCCCUCGCCUGUGGUCAUGAGCUGUGGGUAGUAACCCAAAGAAUGAGAUAACAGAUAUUUGAAAGGUGUCUGGGAUGAGGAGCUCACAUCGCAAAGAGUCAGUCGAGGUAUUUCUGGCUUUUUUUUUUUUUCUUUUUCUUUUUACAAUGUCCUACUGGAAAGAUGCCCCCAUGGUGGAACCUGAACACGCUGGAGAGAUUGCAUUGCUCAGCUGGUUGGGAACACAAUGAAGAACCCAAUGACAGGCAAGUGUGGGUGUCUCUGGGUAACCUGAACUCAGAUGAGCUUCAGAAAAAGCAUGCAUGGAUAUUUUCCUUUGUUUUUUUUUUUCUUUUUGUGUGUGUCUUUUAGCUCCAAAGGUGCCGUGCCAUUCAGUUCCACUAUAUCCAAGAGUAGGCAGACAGCUGCAGAGCUGAUAUGUUGGAAACUGGGAAACUCACACCAAAUCAAUAUCGAUGGAUAAACAGCACUACAGACCAGAGGAAAAUUUAAUGCAAAUUAGAUUUUAAGAGGAAAAGUUCUUUUAAUCAAAAGCGCUUCCAAUGCAGUCAAACUAUCGUAUUAUUUAUUAUAGGUUUUAUUUCAUUACUUCUCCCUUGCAUUGGCUCCUUAAGAUGUUUUUCUUGCCUUACCACUUUUGUAUUCAGAGGGCAGCCUUAUUUUCCCUGUGGCUGGUUAUGAGGACUGCAGUACCGAAAGUCGUUGUCUGCCCCCUUGUGGGUAAUACCGGUACAGGCUUUAUCUCUUUUGAGCCUGCUCUUGAAACUGGAGACUAAUAUGACCGGCCACGUUAACUGACCCACCUAACUUAGUCCUUGUUUCUGUCAUUCACCAGCUGAGGUCCGCUCUAAAAAUGUAUUUCUUUCUUUUCUGUUGAGAAGAACUUAUAAACUGAGGUUGAAGAUGCAUGUGGUUUGCAUCAUGAUGAUUUAUUUUAUUCUUCCCCUCUUUGUUGCCUUAAAUUUCUUCUGGUGAUUUGAGUGUUUCAGUCAGUGCAGAUGGUGACACACAUCUGAACAGCUCAGCACUUCAUUUACUCUGUGUGUGUGUGUGUGUGUGUGUGUGUGUGUGUGUGUGUGAGAGAGAGAGAGAGAGAGAGAGAGAAAGUAAAAUGCAGUUUAACCUCAAUCACACUUGAGUUCGAGCCGAUUUCUGAUCCAACAUCUGUAAAAGUGGAGAUAAUUUUCCUUUUUUGUCCAUUUCUGCUUGUGGUCAGCAGUGGGUUUUAACUGUAUUGUAUUUUGUAUUGAUUUUGUGUUGUACCAUAAUAUGAUCUCAGCAGUGCACAAAUGUCUGCUAUUUUCUGUUGUAUGUAUAGAUAUUUGUUCACCAAACCUUUUGUUUUGCACGUAUAAAAACUCUUUUCUCAUUUCAUUCAUAACAGCAAAAUAGACUUCAGUGCUGCAGUUCCACGUAGUUGCAUACAUUUGUCAUAUUGUGUCAUAUAUUGAUGACAAAAAAAAAAUUCAGCCACAUCCUCCAGGCAUAGUAAUGCCUAAUGCCCCUGAAAAUCUGAAGCACAACAUCUGCACUGAAUGUUUGUGUGACUCUUCGUGUGUUUUCGUCUUAUCUUGCCACUCCGCUUCAAAUCACUGCACGAGUUUCUGAUAGCAGAAAUCUUGUGGCUCUGCAUUAUUGUGAAAGCAUGCCUUAAACAAUCUGGAUACCCUUCAACAUUUAUAUCAGCCUGUGGUGGACUACCUUCUUCUUCUCUUUGAGGACAUCAGGACAUGCUCCUCCUACUUUGUCUCCGGCGGACUGUGCAAAGUGCAUUUGAUGUACACAGAUGUAGCUUUCAAAAGCAGUAAGACACUGGACUUUUUAGACCUGCUGAACUCUGUUUUUAACUCGUUUUAGAAAAAAAACUUGUGCAAUUCCUUCUUUCUGAAGUCAUUUCACGCUGCCUUUACCAGCCCUCAUUCUGUUCAAAUCCUCUUCACCAAAAGGUACUAUAGCUUUAUGAAACCCCUCAUAUUAUGUUAUCUUUUCAUCCCCCUCCCCUCCCCUCACAUAUUGAUGAGUGGUGUCCAGUUUUGUAUUUUUCUACUAUAUGAGCUGUUUACAGGUGCAGUGUGGAUAUACUAAUAGUUGCACCUCAACCAUUACGUGUACAGUUUCAGCUUACAGUGCAGAAUCAAAGCUGUACUGCAUAGAAUGACAAUAAAGUUAUAUGACAUGUCUUUUGAUCUUUAUUUCUGCCUAGUGCGUUACUUUAUGGCAAACAUUUUCAUUUGUUCUCGUAUAGAACAGAUGAAGCUAUGCAGAUGACUCAUCUGGAGCCAUUUGUAGCUACAAUAAACUUAAAAGUAGGUUUGGUAAGGGGUAGCUUUAGCAAAGCACUACAUCCACUCACAUUUCUGUGAAAAAAACAAAAACAAAAAACAGUUUUCUGCUGUAUAAAAAAAAAAAAAAAAAAAAUGUAUAAAAAAUAGACUGUUUAUUGUUACACCUGAACGUUUUGCCAGACUUUCUUAUGUUGUGGCAGGGGUUUCAAAACAUAAGGUAUGGGUCCAGAAACGGCCCGGCAAAGACUGCAAUCUGGUCCAGUGUAUAAUUUUUAAAAAUGUGAAGAAGGGCAUAAAUUUCUCAAUUUUAAUAGUGUUUUCACAUGAUUUAACAGCUUUGGCUACUAAUAAACACCUCCCCCACUGCCAUUCAUACUAAAGUAAA